This 1241-nucleotide ribosomal RNA is filed under the name metagenome. RNAcentral's name for it is "bacterial LSU rRNA". It matches the Rfam family "Bacterial large subunit ribosomal RNA", at positions 1564 to 2815 of the family's 2925-position model. The record is from RNAcentral.
UGAGUACGAGAUGCUACGGCAUCGAAGCAGUCUAUGUCAUACUUCCAAGAAAAGCUUGCACUGUCAUAAACAAAGAAUGCCUGUACCAUAACCGACACAGGUGGGUAGGUAGAGUAUACUAAGGGGCGCGAGAUAACUCUCUCUAAGGAACUCGGCAAAAUGACUCCGUAACUUCGGGAGAAGGAGUGCCUUAUUUCUAAGGUUGCAAUAACAAGAUCCAAGCAACUGUUUACCAAAAACACAGGUCUCCGCUAAGUCGUAAGACGAUGUAUGGGGGCUGACGCCUGCCCAGUGCCAGAAGGUUAAAGAAGUUGGUUAGCAUUAGCGAAGCUGAUAACUGAAGCCCUGGUGAACGGCGGCCGUAACAAUAACGGUCCUAAGGUAGCGAAAUUCCUUGUCGGGUAAGUUCCGACCCGCACGAAAGGCGUAAUGAUUUGGAUACUGUCUCGGAGAGGGGCUCGGUGAAAUAGACUUGUCUGUGAAGAUGCGGACUACCUGCACCUGGACAGAAAGACCCUAUGAAGCUUUACUGUAACUUGAGAUUGAAAUUGGACUUUAUUUGCGCAGUAUAGGUGGGAGGCGUUGAGAAUAAUCUUGCGGGAUUGUUGGAGCCAUCAGUGAGAUACCACUCUUGUAAUGUUAGAUUUCUAACUUUGUAUCAUUAUCUGGUCAAAGAACAGUUUCAGGCGGGCAGUUUGACUGGGGCGGUCGCCUCCCAAAGGGUAACGGAGGCGCACAAAGGUUUCCUCUGAACGGGUAGAAAUCGUAUCUAGAGUGUAAAGGCAUAAGGAAGCUUGACUGUGAGACCUACAAGUCGAGCAGGGACGAAAGUCGGUCUUAGUGAUCUGACGGUGCUGAGUGGAAAGGCCGUCACUCAACGGAUAAAAGUUACUCUAGGAUAACAGGCUGAUCUCCCCCAAGAGUUCACAUCGACGGGGAGGUUUGGCACCUCGAUGUCGGCUCAUCGCAUCCUGGGGCGGUAGUCCGUCCCAAGGGUUGGGCUGUUCGCCCAUGAAAGCGGUACGCGAGCUGGGUUCAGAACGUCGUGAGACAGUUCGGUCCAUAUCCGGUGUAGGCGUUAGAAUAUUGAGAGGAGCCUUCUCUAGUACGAGAGGACCGAGAAGGACAUACCUCUGGCGUACCAGUUAUCGUGCCAACGGUAAACGCUGGGUAGCUAUGUAUGGAGUGGAUAACCGCUGAAAGCAUCUAAGUGGGAAGCCCACCUCAAGAUAAGUAUUCUC